UCCAGACUCCUACGGGAGGCAGCAGUGGGGGAUAUUGCACAAUGGGGGGAACCCUGAUGCAGCGACGCCGCGUGGGUGAAGGAGUAUUUCGGUAUGUAAAGCCCUAUCGGCAGGGAAGAAGAAAGACGGUACCUGACUAAGAAGCCCCGGCUAACUACGUGCCAGCAGCCGCGGUAAUACGUAGGGGGCAAGCGUUAUCCGGAUUUACUGGGUGUAAAGGGGGCGCAGACGGCGAUGCAAGCCAGGAGUGAAAGCCCGGGGCCCAACCCCGGGACUGCUCUUGGAACUGCGUGGCUGGAGUGCAGGAGGGGCAGGCGGAAUUCCUGGUGUAGCGGUGAAAUGCGUAGAUAUCAGGAGGAACACCGGUGGCGAAGGCGGCCUGCUGGACCGUAACUGACGUUGAGGCUCGAAAGCGUGGGGAGCAAACAGGAUUAGAUACCCGUGUA
This 446-nucleotide ribosomal RNA is filed under the name uncultured bacterium. Its description in RNAcentral is "partial 16S ribosomal RNA". It matches the Rfam family "Bacterial small subunit ribosomal RNA", at positions 330 to 792 of the family's 1533-position model. The record is from RNAcentral.